CGUUCAGAGACCUAGUGGCCCAUAAUGACUGUCAGAGUAACUUCAGUGAGGAUAAUUAAAGCACAGCAUAUUUUGUCCAUAUCCCUGAUUCCUCCUUGUUACCUUAUUCUCAGGAUACUGGAAGCUGUCAGACGGUGGAGGCUGGGUAUAAAGCUGCUCCUGUUGCUAUGUCAGUAAUAACAGUGAACUCAGCAAAUAAGAAGUACCUAACAGGACUAUACUCUCAUUUGGCUCUUACAAUAUGAAAAGAAUCAGAAAACAUUUAGAAGACAUGAUGACGCUGGGAUUUCAGUAGUUGGCAGCUUCAAUACUGUAAUAUUUUUGGCAGGUGGUAUCAGCUACAAGGCUACAUUCAUUGGGGCAAAAGUCAAAGGAGCUACAACAAGGAGAUAUAUCAAUAAACACAUAUUUGUUAGAUAUAUUACUGGGUUU
This 432-nucleotide long non-coding RNA is filed under the name Crocodylus porosus (Australian saltwater crocodile). Its description in RNAcentral is "lncRNA (ENSCPRG00005003984.1)". The record is from RNAcentral. Lineage: Eukaryota; Metazoa; Chordata; Crocodylia; Crocodylidae.